UAAACUGAACCAACACCACAAGUCUGCAUAUAAUGAAGUUACUAAGUAGGGAUCAUAUAACAUGAGGUAGAUGGAUGAUUAGCCAACUUAUAAAAUACCACUGUAGUAGUUAAGAUGAUGACUUGAUGAGACAAAGAACAGCAGCAUGCAGAGUUCCUGAUGCACUCUCACAUAUAGGAGUAUUAACCAACCAGCAUGUCCAUCAUGCAUUCUCCCAUAGCCAUAAUUAAAACCAGCAGCAUGUUUUCACAGAGAUAAGAUAAAUACCCCUGAUUGAUGAAGCUACAGUACUAGUACUCAAGAUAACAUCAGUAUUUUAAUCUGACCAGUCCAAACUUGACCAAAAUCAGUGCAUAAUUAAGGAAGUAGUAGCAUACUGCAGUACUCUUUGAUGAACUGCAAACUGAACCAAACAUCCUCUUUGAUGAACUUGGAAGAUCCCUUCCCACCACUGGACUGCUUGUCACGGAUCCAUCACCCUGCAGUGAAAUGAAAUCAGAUGUGAGUCUUGCAUGAUGAGACACAUAAAUGCAAGAACCAAUGCAACAUACUCCAGGCUGCUAGUACUAUAUGGAAUGGAUGUAUGUGCAGAACAGAACCCACGAAUAUAUGGAUGGAUCGAUGGAAAAAGAGGGGCAGUUGGUCGACCUAGCGAGCUAGGUCAUGUCGGCAUACACGGCGUCGAAUGUGUGGCCCCAGGCGGCGGUCACGAGCGCGUAAGCCCAGGCCAGGUAGGCGCGCGCUUGGUGGAUGUGCGGCUGCAGUGGAUGGGGUUCCAUGCCGCAGCGGCGGAGGAAGGAGGCGCAGACGUGGAUGUGGUGGUCGAUGGCGAGCCGGGCGCAGGAGUAUGCGAUGUGGACCGAGACCGGCACGAGGUGGAGGUCGGAGGCGUGGGGGAGGGCGAGCAGCGCGCCGGCGAUCUGACCCGGCGACUGGCCAUGGGGGAGGACCGGGAGGGCGUCCCGGGCGGCGCCGCUGUCGAGCGCGUGCUUGAGCGCCGACGCGAGGAGCUCCGCCGUGAACUCCAGCUGCGCGGCCGAGUUGUCGAGAUGCGCGAGGACGAGGCGCACGAGGCGGGCGUCGCCCUGCUCGUGCGCCCGGUGGCUCGCCAUCUGGUCCCCGGACGUCUCCUCGCAGUCGGCGAGAAGGACCCGGGCCUGCUUGAGGGCCUCGACUGGCUGCGAGAGGUGCACCAUCGCCUCGUUCAGCCGGCCGAAGAGGCGGUGGUGGAGUUGCGCCGCCGCCGCCGCCGCGUCCGCCAUCGCUCUCCCCCUCUGCCCCCCUGGCUGGAUCUCUCCCCUCCCCGACCCGAUGGAUCCAACUCAACUCAACUCUCGGCCGCAACUAGGAAAUUGAAUUUUGAAUGGAAGAAAGAGAACUGAAGGAGGAGAGGACGGCCCUACCUAAAAAGGAAACGGAGCGAGGCCCUGCAGCGCGUACUCGAGAGACAUGAGCAUCUGGUCCCACGCCUGGACGGCGCCGACGAGGUGCUCGCGCGCGACGGCGAUGUCGCCGGCGAGGAGGGCGGGCCGCGUGGCGUCGCCGGCGAACAGGAAGGCCAUGGCGCGCAGCCGGGCGUCAGCCCUCUUGAGCCGGCCCUGGACCGCCCGCCCGCGGUCGAUGGCGUCCACCAGGUGGUCCCGCGCCUCGUCGCCGACGACCCAGAUGACGAGCCGGCGGUCGGGAGAGCCGGCCAGCGCGAGGGCCGCCCGCAGGCUCCCCAUGGAGUCCCUGACGGCGACCCACGCCUCGUCGACGGUGACCCGCGCCCCCACCAGCACCCGCAGGUCCACCUGGCGCGGCGCCCACACCCCAAUCCCCAUCCCGACGGCCAGACGCAGCAUGUUGAGGCGGUCCCGGUGCUCCACCAUGGAG
Molecule: long non-coding RNA, 1875 nt
Filed under: Triticum aestivum (bread wheat)
Lineage: Eukaryota; Viridiplantae; Streptophyta; Magnoliopsida; Poales; Poaceae
Description: long non-coding RNA (TAES_LNC023638)
Source: RNAcentral